GACGAACGCUGGCGGCGUGCUUAACACAUGCAAGUCGAACGGAAAGGCCCUGCUUUUGUGGGGUGCUCGAGUGGCGAACGGGUGAGUAACACGUGAGUAACCUGCUCUUGACUUUGGGAUAACUUCAGGAAACUGGGGCUAAUACCGGAUCGGAGCUCCUGCUGCAUGGUGGGGGUUGGAAAUUUUCGGCGGUUGGGGAUGGACUCGCGGCUUAUCAGCUUGUUGGUGGGGUAGUGGCUUACCAAGGCUUUGACGGGUAGCCGGCCUGGGAGGGUGACCGGCGACAUUGGGACUGAGAUACGGACCAGACUCCUACGGGAGGCAGCAGUGGGGAAUAUUGCACAAUGGGAGGAAGCCUGAUGCAGCAACGCCGCGUGCGGGAUGACGGCCUGCGGGUUGUAAACCGCUUUCGCCUGUGACGAAGCGUGAGUGACGGUAAUGGGUAAAGAAGCACCGGCUAACUACGUG
Molecule: ribosomal RNA, 468 nt
Filed under: uncultured bacterium
Lineage: Bacteria
Description: partial 16S ribosomal RNA
Rfam family: Bacterial small subunit ribosomal RNA
Source: RNAcentral